UGGGGAAUUUUGGACAAUGGGCGCAAGCCUGAUCCAGCCAUGCCGCGUGAGUGAAGAAGGCCUUCGGGUUGUAAAGCUCUUUCGGCGGGGACGAAAUGGUUCGUGCCAAUACCACGGACUGAUGACGGUACCUGAAGAAGAAGCACCGGCUAACUACGUGCCAGCAGCCGCGGUAAUACGUAGGGUGCAGGCGUUAAUCGGAAUUACUGGGCGUAAAGCGUGCGCAGGCGGUUUGUUAAGACAGAUGUGAAAUCCCCGGGCUUAACCUGGGAACUGCGUUUGUAACUGGCAGACUGGAGUGUGGCAGAGGGGGGUGGAAUUCCACGUGUAGCAGUGAAAUGCGUAGAGAUGUGGAGGAACACCGAUGGCGAAGGCAGCCCCCUGGGUUAACACUGACGCUCAUGCACGAAAGCGUGGGGAGCAAACAGGAUUAGAUACCCUUGUAGUCCCUGAGCGGGCUGGCAAGGCGCAU
Molecule: ribosomal RNA, 472 nt
Filed under: uncultured bacterium
Lineage: Bacteria
Description: bacterial SSU rRNA
Rfam family: Bacterial small subunit ribosomal RNA
Source: RNAcentral